UACGAAGGGUGCAAGCGUUACUCGGAAUUACUGGGCGUAAAGCGUGCGUAGGCGGUCUGUCGCGUCGGCUGUGAAAACCCGGGGCUCAACCCCGGGCCUGCAGUCGAUACGGGCAGACUAGAGUGCGGUAGGGGAGACUGGAAUUCCUGGUGUAGCGGUGAAAUGCGCAGAUAUCAGGAGGAACACCGGUGGCGAAGGCGGGUCUCUGGGCCGUAACUGACGCUGAGGAGCGAAAGCGUGGGGAGCGAACAGG
Molecule: ribosomal RNA, 253 nt
Filed under: uncultured bacterium
Lineage: Bacteria
Description: partial 16S ribosomal RNA
Rfam family: Bacterial small subunit ribosomal RNA
Source: RNAcentral